AUUAGAAACCCUUGUAGUCCGGCUGACUGACUCUUACACCAAGUAUCUCGUAUGCCGUCUUCUGCUUGAAAAAAAUCAUAUAGCUUAACUAUAGAACUGCUUUGAAAACUGUUAAUCUAGAAUGUGGGAGAGGUAGAUGGAAUUUCUGGUGUAGGGGUAAAAUCCGUAGAGAUCAGAAGGAAUACCGAUUGCGAAGGCGAUCGACUGGAGCAUUAUUCACGCUGGGAUUUGUAAGCCUGGCGCGCAAAUAG
Molecule: ribosomal RNA, 251 nt
Filed under: uncultured prokaryote
Description: partial 16S rRNA
Rfam family: Bacterial small subunit ribosomal RNA (bases 41-251)
Source: RNAcentral